UGGCACGGGCAGCUGCCUGUGAUGUGU
Molecule: non-coding RNA, 27 nt
Filed under: Homo sapiens (human)
Lineage: Eukaryota; Metazoa; Chordata; Mammalia; Primates; Hominidae
Source: RNAcentral